UACAUGUUUGUCAUUUGACUCUGAAGAUGACUACCGCUAAGGAUUUGCAAAAUAUCCUUACCAAGGAAUUUAUCUCUAUUAUGACAGAGGAAUCCAAACAACCAUAUCAUCAUAAUCAAGUAGUUCUCACUUUAUACUUUAUACCACUAGUCGUGCUUUUAAUGUGUUAUAUAAAAUAACAAUAUGCUUUAUAAUUGCUUAUGCAUGAAACACUGUGUAAAAACUUAUUAAUUAAAUGAUAUUUU
Long non-coding RNA from Xenia sp. Carnegie-2017, 245 nucleotides. RefSeq lists it as uncharacterized. The transcript is spliced from 2 exons. The record is from RefSeq and is a predicted model, not a curated record. NCBI's taxonomy places the organism in Eukaryota, Metazoa, Cnidaria, Anthozoa, Malacalcyonacea, Xeniidae.